AGUGAACGCUGGCGGUAGGCCUAACACAUGCAAGUCGAACGGCAGCACAGAGGAGCUUGCUCCUUAGGUGGCGAGUGGCGGACGGGUGAGGAAUACAUCGGAAUCUACUCUGUCGUGGGGGAUAACGUAGGGAAACUUACGCUAAUACCGCAUACGACCUACGGGUGAAAGCAGGGGACCUUCGGGCCUUGCGCGAUUGAAUGAGCCGAUGUCGGAGUAGCUAGUUGGCGGGGUAAAGGCCAACCAAGGCGACGAUCCGUAGCUGGUCUGAGGGGAUGAUCAGCCACACUGGAACUGAGACACGGACCAGACUCCUACGGGAGGCAGCAGUGGGGAAUAUUGGACAAUGGGCGCAAGCCUGAUCCAGCCAUACCGCGUGGGUGAAGAAGGCCUUCGGGUUGUAAAGCCCUUUUGUUGGGAAAGAAAUCCAGCUGGCUAAUACCCGGUUGGGAUGACGGUACCCAAAGAAUAAGCACCGGCUAACUUCGUGCCAGCCGCCGCCGUAA
This 506-nucleotide ribosomal RNA is filed under the name uncultured bacterium. RNAcentral's name for it is "partial 16S ribosomal RNA". It matches the Rfam family "Bacterial small subunit ribosomal RNA", at positions 29 to 523 of the family's 1533-position model. The record is from RNAcentral.